Molecule: unclassified non-coding RNA, 218 nt
Filed under: uncultured fungus
Lineage: Eukaryota; Fungi
Description: sequence contains ITS1, 5.8S rRNA gene
Source: RNAcentral
UUGAUUCAUUUUGAAUUUUUGCUCAGAGCUGUAAGAAAUAACGUCCGCGAGGGGGUAUACAAAAGAGUUUUGGGUUGGUCCUCCGGCGGGCGCCUUGGUCCGGGGCUGCGACGCGCCCGGGGCAUAAAUCCCGCCGAGGCAACAGUUUGGUAACGUUCACAUUGGGUUUGGGAGUUGUAAACUCGGUAAUGAUCCCUCCGCUGGUUCACCAACGGAGA